GUAACGGAGGUGCGCGAAGGUCUCCUCACCCUGAUUGGAAACCAGGGCACGAGUGUAAAGGCACAAGGAGGCUUGACUGCGAGGUAGACAUACCGAGCAGGUACGAAAGUAGGUCUUAGUGAUCUGAUGGUGCUGAGUGGAAAGGCCAUCACUUAACGGACAAAAGGUACUCCGGGGAUAACAGGCUGAUUUUCCCCGAGAGUUCACAUCGACGGGAAAGUUUGGCACCCCGAUGUCGGCUCAUCGCAUCCUGGGGCUGGAGCAGGUCCCAAGGGUUUGGCUGUUCGCCAAAUAAAGAGGUACGUGAGCUCGGUUCAGAACGUCGCGAGACAGUUCGGUACCUAUCUGUUAUGGGCGAUGGAUGUUUGAGAGGAGCUGCUUUUAGUACGAGAGGACCGAAGUGGACGAACCUCUGGUUUACCAGUUAUCCUGCCAAGGGUAAGUGCUGGGUAUCUAAGUUCGGAAGGGAUAACCGCUGAAAGCAUCUAAGCGGGAAGCCCACCCCAAGAUUAGUCAUCCCUGAGGAUUUAAUCCUCCUGAAGACUCCAGAGAGACUAUCUGGUUGAUAGGCUGCAGGUAUAAGCACAGUAAUGUGUUCAGCCGAGCAGUACUAAUCAGUCGAGAGGCUUGACCAU
Molecule: ribosomal RNA, 635 nt
Filed under: Candidatus Treponema caballi
Lineage: Bacteria; Pseudomonadati; Spirochaetota; Spirochaetia; Treponematales; Treponemataceae
Description: partial 23S ribosomal RNA
Rfam family: Bacterial large subunit ribosomal RNA
Source: RNAcentral